Long non-coding RNA from Ostrea edulis (European flat oyster), 1194 nucleotides. RefSeq lists it as uncharacterized. NCBI's taxonomy places the organism in Eukaryota, Metazoa, Mollusca, Bivalvia, Ostreida, Ostreidae. The record is from RefSeq and is a predicted model, not a curated record. The transcript is spliced from 2 exons.
AUUCUAGCAGCCAAUUAAAGUGGUAGGUUGUAUAUUUGAGACAUCUCGAAGUUUAAAAAAAAUAGAUGAUGGUAGUUAAUAAGAAGUUAACAAUGUUCAAUUGUUAACGCACGACGGACGACAAGCAAUUGCAAUAGGUCGCAUCUGAAAAAAAAAUUAAGACCCCUGCUAGACUUGAACCCGCGAUCUACAAAUCAGCAGUCGACAUAUUAAAAUGAAUAUACAAAUACAAUGUAUUGCUGAUAUUUAUAUUUCCAUUCAUGUUUUAAAAGUCAUUAUGACGAUGCAGUAUACCUCCAUAAUGAUGAUUUACAUCUACACAUCCCAAUGUCCAUAUAUCUGAAUUAUUAAACAUCCGGUGUGUACAUAGGAUACAUUAUUAUUGAUUUUUUAUGUUUGAAAAUAAAUGAGGGCUUUACACCAGCAUACAAGAUGGAGCACGUUAACGCGUCAUGAAAAGUAUGCUGGCGUGAAGCGUUGCUGUUCAUACUCUCAUGUACUUUGCAAAAUGAAAACUUUUUACAUUCUACUUUCAUUUCUGUCGAAAUUCCAACCAACGCACUAUAUCCAUGAAGAUCUAUACGCGCAUUACUCACAACUGCAUCGCAUUUAGGAGGACAUGACUAAGGUCAAAGAAUAAACCCGAGAAACUCUAAGCUUCCAACAACAUCGCGGGUUAAAAUGAGGGAAGUUUUCAAAUCUAACCAUGGAGGAUAUAAAUGAAGAGAGGAGUUUUACUGAAGCUUAUCAAACGAAUUCCAAGUACGCUCUAAAGCACGAGAGAGUGUGAAAAUGAGACAGAAGAUGGCACAUCCUACGACGCGAGGAGAAAUUACAGACCUACAUCAGUCAACUGAAUGCAGAGUUGGCAUCAUCCCGUUUCUUCGUUAAAUGAAGCAGAGCUGGAUACUGAUUUAGAUGUCUUGUUACUGCAGAGGAAUUAGAUCGAGAUAACAAACACAAACUUAUCUUUUGGAAAAGAUUAAAUGAUUUCUUUAACUUUUAUACAACCACAAAUGAACAUUUCAAUGAGGAAAACAAGCUUAAGAUGAAAGAAAUAUUUGUGGUACCUUUUUGUGUAUGACAAAUAGACACUAUAUCGAAUCCUUAAAUUAGUACUGUAAUGAUAAUGAAAUUUCUUCCAGUAAAAGGCUUUGUUCAAUUAAUCAGCAAUGCAAAGUGAAUAUAUCAAAA